AAAUAAUUAUAGAUUUACAAGCAAUUGCAAAACCAGUAUGGAGAAGUCCCAAGAACCCAGUUUUCUCUGAUGGUUGCAUCUUACAUAACUAUAGGAGAGAUCCUCCAGCUGCAGUUCCUUCUAGCCAAAGACCCACCGAGAACGCACCUCUAGCUGAGUAAAUUGCAUUUAUUACUCACUGCAGUGAGGGAGAGCACACACCAUGGGGCAUCUCGGUAAGAGAUGUGUUAGGUGUUAGGAGUGUGUUAGGAAGAACCUAGUGUAGAAUUUGGGUUUUGGUUGGGUGAUUUGGGGGAGGUUGAAGGGAGUAGGUUUCACACUAGAUGAAUUGCGUCUGCUGUCAGAAGGCAGAAGCAAGUCUGUAAUUGCGCAGCUUGAGUCCUAUCACUAGGAAGAGGAGACUAGCGUUGGGGGCUAAAGCUAUGAUUGGUGAAGCAGCAGCAGUCACUGAUUUCAGCCAAGAGAGGGUGAUGGUCGGUAUUUUGUGGGUGGCACCGUGACCUUGUCUUUAUGGGUUACUUAAAAAUUGUGAAGUGACCUUGUUUUGUCUCACUUUAUCAUAGCCUCAGAGUAACCUUGUCUGAGGUUGUAUCGUGUGUGAUUAUGUCUAAAUGGAGAAUAACAUGGCAUAGCUGUGCAUGCCAAGCCAGCUUCCCGAUGUCAGGGGCUUUUAUUUCUGAUCUUUCAUGGACAUUGGUACCAUGCAUACGUAUAGUUCUCUGCCAUUUCAUCAUGUAUGUAGAUUUGAGUAACUACCACUGCAGUCAUCAUCCACCACGAAGACUUCGCUCGUGCGGCCCCUUUAACAUCAUAUCCACCUGCCUACCCUAACCCCACCAUCCCUAACGCCUGGCAACCACUAAUCCGUUUUCCAUCUCUAUUGCUUUAUUCCUUUGAGAAUGCCGUGUACACGGAAUCACACACAAUGUAACCUUUUGAUACUGACUUUCCUUGCUCAGCAUAAUGCCCAGGAGAUCCAUCCAAGAUGUCCUGUGUAUCAAUAGUGUGUUUCUUUUUUAGGGCUAAGUAGUGUUCCAUAGUGUGUGUAUUCGUUUUCUAUGACUGCUGUAACGAGUUAAAACUUAGUGGCUUAAACAACACAGGUUUUUAAUCUUACAGCUCUGUAAGUCAGAACUCUGGCAUGGAUCUUGCCAGACCAAAAUCAAGGUGUCAGUAGGCUGCGUUCUUUUCCAAAGGCUGUAGGGAAAAACCCAUUUUAUUGCUAAUUCCUUGCUAGGGGAAUUCAAUUCCAAGUGGUUGUAAGACUAAGGUUUCUGUUUUCUUGCUGGCUAUCAGCUGAGGGCUGUUCCCAGUUUCUAGAUCGAGGCCACCCACAUUCCUUGGCUUGUGACCACCUCUGUCUAUGUCAAAGCUGGCAACAGCAGAUGGAAUUCCUCUCAGGCUUAGAGUUUCUCCUGCCUCUUUCCUAAUCACAUUUCUCUGACUCACCUUCUUGCUUCCCUCUUCCACAUUUAAGAAUGCAUAUCAUUUGGCCAG
This 1497-nucleotide long non-coding RNA is filed under the name Macaca fascicularis (crab-eating macaque). RNAcentral describes it as "lncRNA (ENSMFAG00000062190.1)". The record is from RNAcentral. Lineage: Eukaryota; Metazoa; Chordata; Mammalia; Primates; Cercopithecidae.